Long non-coding RNA from Syngnathoides biaculeatus (alligator pipefish), 1412 nucleotides. RefSeq lists it as uncharacterized. NCBI's taxonomy places the organism in Eukaryota, Metazoa, Chordata, Actinopteri, Syngnathiformes, Syngnathidae. The record is from RefSeq and is a predicted model, not a curated record. The transcript is spliced from 2 exons.
AGAGAAGUUUUUUUGGUCACAACUUUUUCGCAACUUAUCUUCAUCUCUGGUCAGUGUCCAUGGAAUUGCUGACAUCCCGUCCUUUUUCGCCGAUCCACAGCAGGAGGAAACUGCACUUUUCCUUUUCAGCUCUGUUUUUUAGCGGUCUCGUGAACAAGAGUUCGGCCUGUUGCUUGAAUCUCUGCCACGCAUCUGGUAAAUUGGGUGAGUUGGAACACCGAACGCCUCCUCAUCGUCUUCGUUUGUUUUUUUUCUUCCCUGUGAGUCCGUAGUUACGCUUCCGUCACUCUGACGCCAUGUUAUGAUCUUGCUGUUGUGUUAUUGAAUAACGUAAUAACAUAGACCUGAGUCCAACUCUAAUUGUUAACAUGGUUGAUAUUUAUGUCGCCCCCCCCUCCCCAACCUCUCCCACUGACAUCGACACAAUGCUCUCGAGUUUCAUAUGUGGCUUCUUUCUUUCUUUCUUUGUUCCUUUAUUCCUUACACCAGCACAAGUGCCUCAAUUACUUCUGGUUACAGUGAUCAAACGCUAACCGUAGCCAAAACAUUCCAGUAUACAUUUAUCGCUUCCUAGCCAUAAUUUGUAGACAUGAUCUUGCCGUCCAAAACAAACAAACACGUGGUCAGCGUGACGUCAGUGAAAAGUAUUCGGAACGACAUCGGAUCAGAUGUCAACUGGUGUGACUGAUGGCUUGAUAAUCGAUUGGUGCUGUGUCGGUCCUUGACAGAACGUGCGCGGGUGUCCUCUUCUCAGCGCACUUUGUGUCCAAAAGAGAGAGACAUCGCCAGUGAAUUCAAUUCUCAUGACUUUGUUUCUUCUGCAGAGGAGCGCACACAUCAUUGUGUGUCAUGAUGCAAGCGUUUGGUUAGUGUAUCUCCCUCGUUACAGUCUUCGUGUGCCACUUUAGUCAUUUCUUGUUUUGUUCAUGUUCCACAUUUUGCCUCAGUUAUCGGACCUCGUUUCCGGAUUUUGGGACUUUGCCUUUUUGCCACGUGUUUUUUGAGCUUCUGCCUUUUUGGACUGCUUCCCUGUGUACGACCUCUGAAAGAAUCAAACUACCCUCAAAAAUCAUGUCCCUGCGUUACCCCUUGCUGCAUGCUCGUGACAGGAGGUUUCAUUGUUUAUGAGGAUUAAUUCAAGUUUUCAGUUUUUACAUUGUCAUUAGAAAGUUACUGUCCAUGGUUUUAUUUCUUAUACAUUCCAAAUUCAGUUAUUCAGGUAAAAAAAAAAAAAAAAAAUCUGAACUAAAACGCUCAAAUCUCAUUCUGUUUUUAUGUUUUAUUCAUUCAAUUGUACUGUAAGUGUACAUGCAGUAAAAUGACAAACACAAAUCCAGGCUGACAUUUUGAGGCUCAGCUGUUGAAGGGUCAAAUCAAUACCAAAAUACUCCUUAAAUAAAACUACAAAUGUA